GUGCCAGCAGCUGCGGUUAUACAAAAAAUACAAGUAAAUUUUAUUAAAUUAAGUUAAAUUGAUAAAUAUUUAAUAAUAAAAAAAUUUUUAGGUGAAAUUUUAAUUUUUUUAUUUUUAAAAUUAAAAGAAAUGUUGAAGCUAAAAAAUUUUGUUAAUAAACUAGGAUUAGAUACCCUAUUAUAAAAAAAUGUAUUUUUAAAAAAUUAGAGUAGUAAUAGUUAUGGUCUUGAAACUCAAAAAAUUUGGCGGUAUUUUAGUCUAUUCAGAGGAACCUGUGGUGUAAUCGAUAAUCCACGAUGAAUCUUACUUAUUUUUGUUUUUCAAUUUGUAUACCGCCGUUAUUUAAAAAUUUUUUGAAAAUAAUAAUUUUUAUAAUUUUUUAUUAAAUAAAAAGUCAGGUCAAGGUGCAGUUUAUAUUUAAGUAUUUCAUGGGUUACAAUAAAUUUAUUUAUACGGAUUAAAUUAUGAAAUUAGUUUAUGAAGGGGGAUUUGGUAGUAAAUUUUUAAAGAUUAAAAAAUUGAUUUUAGCUCUAAAAUAUG
RNAcentral lists this ribosomal RNA (540 nucleotides) under Eurynogaster maculata. Its description in RNAcentral is "partial 12S ribosomal RNA". Lineage: Eukaryota; Metazoa; Arthropoda; Insecta; Diptera; Dolichopodidae. RNAcentral also lists the same sequence under 1 other name. The record is from RNAcentral.